This is a non-coding RNA of Python bivittatus (Burmese python), 378 nucleotides long. The record is from RefSeq and is a predicted model, not a curated record. NCBI's taxonomy places the organism in Eukaryota, Metazoa, Chordata, Lepidosauria, Squamata, Pythonidae.
CAGCGUUCAGCGUAAACUAACUGACAAUCUGAAUAGCAUCCGAAAUUUAUCAGAGGAGUUUAUUAUUAAUUGGUCUUCCCAUGAUAUACAGUGCUGCAGAAUUUUGAAAGCAAGGGUGAGGACCUUGGCUUGUAACUAGGCUCUGUCAUGGAUGAAGAGACUCAUCAUAGCCUUGAAUGCAUCCAAGCUAAUCAGAUCUUCCCCAGGAAGCAGCUGAUCCGGGAGGAUGAAAAUCUCCAGGUCCCGUUUCUUGAGCUUCAUGGGGAGAGUACCGAGUUCGUUGGCCGAGCAGAGGAUGCUGUCAUUGCCCUGUCCAACUACAGGCUUCACAUCAAAUUUAAGGAGUCCAUGGUGAAUGUAAGUUGUCUCUUCUGAACC